GCUCCUGUAGUGUAGUCCGGCCAAUCAUUUUGGCCUCUCGAGGCCAAUAGGCCGUGGAUAGCCAAUGACCCGGGUUCAAAUCCCGGCGGGAGCA
RNAcentral lists this transfer RNA (94 nucleotides) under uncultured organism. RNAcentral's name for it is "tRNA-Glu". It matches the Rfam family "tRNA". From Rfam's summary of the family: Transfer RNA (tRNA) molecules are approximately 80 nucleotides in length. Their secondary structure includes four short double-helical elements and three loops (D, anti-codon, and T loops). Further hydrogen bonds mediate the characteristic L-shaped molecular structure. tRNAs have two regions of fundamental functional importance: the anti-codon, which is responsible for specific mRNA codon recognition, and the 3' end, to which the tRNAs corresponding amino acid is attached (by aminoacyl-tRNA synthetases). tRNAs cope with the degeneracy of the genetic code in two manners: having more than one tRNA (with a specific anti-codon) for a particular amino acid; and 'wobble' base-pairing, i.e. permitting non-standard base-pairing at the 3rd anti-codon position. The record is from RNAcentral.